Molecule: ribosomal RNA, 318 nt
Filed under: uncultured bacterium
Lineage: Bacteria
Description: bacterial SSU rRNA
Rfam family: Bacterial small subunit ribosomal RNA
Source: RNAcentral
AAAACACUAGUGAACGCUGGCGGUAGGCCUAACACAUGCAAGUCGAACGGCAGCACAGGAGAGCUUGCUCUCUGGGUGGCGAGUGGCGGACGGGUGAGGAAUGCAUCGGAAUCUACUCUAUCGUGGGGGAUAACGUAGGGAAACUUACGCUAAUACCGCAUACGACCUACGGGUGAAAGCAGGGGAUCUUCGGACCUUGCGCGAUUGAAUGAGCCGAUGCCCGAUUAGCUAGUUGGCGGGGUAAGAGCCCACCAAGGCGACGAUCGGUAGCUGGUCUGAGAGGAUGAUCAGCCACACUGGAACUGAGACACGGUCCAG